GGAGCUUGCUCCUCGGGUGACGAGUGGCGGACGGGUGAGUAAUGUCUGGGGAUCUGCCCGAUAGAGGGGGAUAACCACUGGAAACGGUGGCUAAUACCGCAUAACGUCGCAAGACCAAAGAGGGGGACCUUCGGGCCUCUCACUAUCGGAUGAACCCAGAUGGGAUUAGCUAGUAGGCGGGGUAACGGCCCACCUAGGCGACGAUCCCUAGCUGGUCUGAGAGGAUGACCAGCCACACUGGAACUGAGACACGGUCCAGACUCCUACGGGAGGCAGCAGUGGGGAAUAUUGCACAAUGGGCGCAAGCCUGAUGCAGCCAUGCCGCGUGUAUGAAGAAGGCCUUCGGGUUGUAAAGUACUUUCAGCGGGGAGGAAGGCGAUGUGGUUAAUAACCGCGUCGAUUGACGUUACCCGCAGAAGAAGCACCGGCUAACUCCGUGCCAGCAGCCGCGGUAAUACGGAGGGUGCAAGCGUUAAUCGGAAUUACUGGGCGUAAAGCGCACGCAGGCGGUCUGUUAAGUCAGAUGUGAAAUCCCCGGGCUUAACCUGGGAACUGCAUUUGAAACUGGCAGGCUUGAGUCUCGUAGAGGGGGGUAGAAUUCCAGGUGUAGCGGUGAAAUGCGUAGAGAUCUGGAGGAAUACCGGUGGCGAAGGCGGCCCCCUGGACGAAGACUGACGCUCAGGUGCGAAAAGCGUGGGGAGCAAACAAGGAUUAGAUACCCUGGUAGUCCACGCCGUAAACGAUGUCNACUUGGAAGGUUGUUUCCCUUGAGGAGUGGCUUCCGGAAGCUAACGCGUUAAGUCGACCCCUGGGGAGUACGGCCGCAAGGUUAAAACUCCAAAUUAAAUUGA
Molecule: ribosomal RNA, 851 nt
Filed under: uncultured bacterium
Lineage: Bacteria
Description: bacterial SSU rRNA
Rfam family: Bacterial small subunit ribosomal RNA
Source: RNAcentral